UCCGGGGUAGUGUAACGGCUAACACGUCUUCGCAACUUUCGGGUUGCAUUUAAAGGAAUACGGGGUUCAACUCCCCGCCUCGGAG
Molecule: non-coding RNA, 85 nt
Organism: Calocera cornea HHB12733
Lineage: Eukaryota; Fungi; Basidiomycota; Dacrymycetes; Dacrymycetales; Dacrymycetaceae
Source: the annotation of a GenBank genome assembly